GACAGUUCGGUCCCUAUCCGGCGUGGGCGUAGGAUAUUUGAGAGGAGCUGUCCUUAGUACGAGAGGACCGGGAUGGACUGGCCGCUGGUGUAUCUGUUGUUUUACCAAGAGCAUAGCAGAGUAGCCAAGCCGGGAAGGGAUAAACGCUGAAGGCAUCUAAGCGUGAAGCCCCCCUCAAGAUGAGAUAUCCCAUAACGUCAAGUUAGUAAGACCCCUUGAAGACGACGAGGUAGAUAGGGCAGAGGUGGAAGUGUGGUAACACAUGGAGCUGACUGUUACUAAUAGGUCGAGGGCAUAACCAA
This 302-nucleotide ribosomal RNA is filed under the name Candidatus Mediterraneibacter guildfordensis. RNAcentral describes it as "partial 23S ribosomal RNA". It matches the Rfam family "Bacterial large subunit ribosomal RNA", at positions 2625 to 2925 of the family's 2925-position model. Lineage: Bacteria; Bacillati; Bacillota; Clostridia; Lachnospirales; Lachnospiraceae. The record is from RNAcentral.